ACAGACAGCACUUUUUUCCACCUGUCAGCUUGGACUUUCCCCCACCUCCCUGUAGCAGGACUCUUCCAAUCUCUCCUGCUCUGAUUCAAACCUGGGAAUAACAAGCCGCCGGAACAGCAGGACCAGCACUCCAAAAUCUGCCUGGCCACUGGCAGCACCAGCCACUGGAGCUCGAGACCAUUUUGGAACCAGGGCGCAGUGAACAGCUGGCUCGAAUGAACGCCUGGGAGCCCACACCCUCUCUGUUCCUCAAAUAACAAUGUUUGUUGCAUUCUUAUUACACUGAAAGGAAAGCAAUAAGCAUUUGGGAAAACCACAUCUACAGGCUGGUGUGUGGGAGGACAUUACGAUGUUAUCCUGUGCAGCAAUCUCUUACUUCUCUCUCUACAUUUGAUAAUAAAAACAAUGGUUGAACAAAUGUCCCUUUCA
This is a non-coding RNA of Lonchura striata (white-rumped munia), 429 nucleotides long. The record is from RefSeq and is a predicted model, not a curated record. Lineage: Eukaryota; Metazoa; Chordata; Aves; Passeriformes; Estrildidae.